GAGGGUAUAGCUCAGUGGUAGAGUGCAUGCCUAGCAUGCAUGAGGUCCUGGGCUCAAUCCCCAGUACUGCCA
This 72-nucleotide transfer RNA is filed under the name Camelus bactrianus (Bactrian camel). It matches the Rfam family "tRNA". Rfam says of the family: Transfer RNA (tRNA) molecules are approximately 80 nucleotides in length. RNAcentral also lists the same sequence under 1 other name. The record is from Rfam by way of RNAcentral. Lineage: Eukaryota; Metazoa; Chordata; Mammalia; Artiodactyla; Camelidae.